GAGGAAUAUUGGUCAAUGGACGAGAGUCUGAACCAGCCAAGUAGCGUGAAGGAUGACUGCCCUAUGGGUUGUAAACUUCUUUUAUACGGGAAUAAAGUUAGCCACGUGUGGCUUUUUGUAUGUACCGUAUGAAUAAGGAUCGGCUAACUCCGUGCCAGCAGCCGCGGUAAUACGGAGGAUCCGAGCGUUAUCCGGAUUUAUUGGGUUUAAAGGGAGCGUAUGCGGGUUGUUAAGUCAGUUGUGAAAGUUUGCGGCUCAACCGUAAAAUUGCAGUUGAUACUGGCGACCUUGAGUGCAACAGAGGUAGGCGGAAUUCGUGGUGUAGCGGUGAAAUGCUUAGAUAUCACGAAGAACUCCGAUUGCGAAGGCAGCUUACUGGAUUGUAACUGACGCUGAUGCUCGAAAGUGUGGGUAUCAAACAGGAUUAGAUACCCUGGUAGUCCACACAGUAAACGAUGAAUACUCGCUGUUGGCGAUAUACGGUCAGCGGCCAAGCGAAAGCAUUAAGUAUUCCACCUGGGGAGUACGCCGGCAACGGUGAAACUCAAAGGAAUUGACGGGGGCCCGCACAAGCGGAGGAACAUGUGGUUUAAUUCGAUGAUACGCGAGGAACCUUACCCGGGCUUAAAUUGCAACUGACUGAACCGGAAACGGUUCUUUCUUCGGACAGUUGUGAAGGUGCUGCAUGGUUGUCGUCAGCUCGUGCCGUGAGGUGUCGGCUUAAGUGCCAUAACGAGCGCAACCCUUAUCGAUAGUUACUAGCAGGUCAUGCUGAGGACUCUAUUGAGACUGCCGUCGUAAGAUGUGAGGAAGGUGGGGAUGACGUCAAAUCAGCACGGCCCUUACGUCCGGGGCUACACACGUGUUACAAUGGGGGGUACAGAAGGCAGCUACAUGGCGACGUGGUGCUAAUCCCGAAAGCCUCUUUCAGUUUGGAUUGGAGUUUGCAACCCGACUCCAUGAAGCUGGAUUCGCUAGUAAUCGCGCAUCAGCCACGGCGCGGUGAAUACGUUCCCG
Molecule: ribosomal RNA, 1017 nt
Filed under: uncultured organism
Description: bacterial SSU rRNA
Rfam family: Bacterial small subunit ribosomal RNA
Source: RNAcentral